RNAcentral lists this ribosomal RNA (1306 nucleotides) under metagenome. RNAcentral's name for it is "bacterial LSU rRNA". It matches the Rfam family "Bacterial large subunit ribosomal RNA", at positions 1633 to 2925 of the family's 2925-position model. The record is from RNAcentral.
CUACACGGCCCGUACCCCAAACCGACACAGGUGAUCAGGUAGAGAAUACCAAGGCGAUCGAGAGAACUGUGGUUAAGGAACUCGGCAAAAUGCCCCCGUAACUUCGGGAGAAGGGGGACCAUGCCCGGUGAACAUCUUCACGGUGGGAGCUGGGUGUGGUCGCAGAGACCAGAGAGAAGCGACUGUUUACUAAAAACACAGGUCCGUGCGAAGACGUAAGUCGAUGUAUACGGACUGACGCCUGCCCGGUGCUGGAAGGUUAAGAGGACCGGUUAGCCGUAAGGCGAAGCUGAGAAUUUAAGCCCCAGUAAACGGCGGUGGUAACUAUAACCAUCCAAAGGUAGCGAAAUUCCUUGUCGGGUAAGUUCCGACCUGCACGAAUGGCGUAACGACUUCUCUGCUGUCUCGACCACAGACUCGGCGAAAUUGCACUACGAGUAAAGAUGCUCGUUACGCGCGGCAGGACGAAAAGACCCCGGGACCUUUACUAUAGCUUGGUAUUGGCGUUCGAUUCGGUUUGUGUAGGAUAGGUGGGAGACUGUGAAGCAUGCACGCCAGUGUGUGUGGAGUCGUUGUUGAAAUACCACUCUGAUUGUAUUGGACGUCUAACCUCGGCCCAUGAUCUGGGUUAGGGACAGUGCCUGGUGGGUAGUUUAACUGGGGCGGUUGCCUCCUAAAGAGUAACGGAGGCGCCCAAAGGUUCCCUCAGCCUGGAUGGCAAUCAGGUGUUGAGUGCAAGUGCACAAGGGAGCUUGACUGUGAGACUGACACGUCGAGCAGGGACGAAAGUCGGGACUAGUGAUCCGGCACCGGCAAGUGGAAGCGGUGUCGCUCAACGGAUAAAAGGUACCCCGGGGAUAACAGGCUGAUCUUCCCCAAGAGUCCAUAUCGACGGGAUGGUUUGGCACCUCGAUGUCGGCUCGUCGCAUCCUGGGGCUGGAGUAGGUCCCAAGGGUUGGGCUGUUCGCCCAUUAAAGCGGCACGCGAGCUGGGUUUAGAACGUCGUGAGACAGUUCGGUCUCUAUCCGCCGCGCGUGUAAGAAACUUGAGGAAGGCUGUCCCUAGUACGAGAGGACCGGGACGGACGAACCUCUGGUGUGCCAGUUGUUCCACCAGGAGCAUGGCUGGUUAGCUACGUUCGGAAGGGAUAACCGCUGAAAGCAUCUAAGCGGGAAGCCUGUUCCAAGAUGAGGUUUCUCACCACCUUGCGUGGUUAAGGCCCCCUACAGACCAUGGGGUUGAUAGGCCGGAACUGGAAGCGCAGCAAUGCGUGGAGGUGACCGGUACUAAUAGGCCGAGGGCUUAC